UACGUAGGGGGCAAGCGUUGUCCGGAUUUAUUGGGCGUAAAGAGCGUGUAGGCGGUUUGGUAGGUCAGCUGUGAAAACUCGAGGCUCAACCUCGAGACGUCGGUUGAAACCGUAUGGCUAGAGUCCGGAAGAGGAGAGUGGAAUUCCCGGUGUAGCGGUGAAAUGCGCAGAUAUCGGGAAGAACACCCGUGGCGAAGGCGGCUCUCUGGGACGGUACUGACGCUGAGACGCGAAAGCGUGGGGAGCGAACAGG
Molecule: ribosomal RNA, 253 nt
Filed under: uncultured bacterium
Lineage: Bacteria
Description: partial 16S ribosomal RNA
Rfam family: Bacterial small subunit ribosomal RNA
Source: RNAcentral